Long non-coding RNA from Canis lupus familiaris (dog), 1593 nucleotides. RefSeq lists it as uncharacterized. Lineage: Eukaryota; Metazoa; Chordata; Mammalia; Carnivora; Canidae. The record is from RefSeq and is a predicted model, not a curated record. The transcript has 3 exons.
CGUUGUCGGGGAGGCCAGGGAUCCACAGCCCAUACCACUUACCCUGGCUUGACUGGAGAAGAGUGAAGGACCUCCUAUCCCCUCUGGUGUUGCUGAGAUGCUGAGAAAUGACGCAGGAGUCACCCCUUCCUUCCCCCAGCAGGAGACAGAGAGAGUCUGUUCACAGCUAUGAAAACACAGACUGGAGGAGACUCAGUUCUUCCUUGGGGAUAGGAGGGAAAGGCCAGUGAAGAUCCUCCAAAGAAGUGACAACUGAACUAAUUAUGAAAGCCACAUACAGAGAGAGAGAGAGGCAGAGACACAGGCAGAGGGAGAAGCAGGCUCCAUGCACCGGGAGCCCGACGUGGGAUUCGAUCCCGGGUCUCCAGGAUCGCACCCUGGGCCAAAGGCAGGCGCCAAACCGCUGCGCCAUCCAGGGAUCCCGGCAUAAUAGGUUUUGAUCUAGUAUUUCCAAUCGUGAGAAUUUUUGCCAAGGAUCUAAUGGGUCAAAUUCACAGAGAAGUAUGUAUAAGGUUCUUCAUUUACACACUGUUGAUAACUGUGAAAAUUUGGAAACAACUUAAAUAUUGGUUACCUAAAUUAUGAUAUAUCCUACACAGCCAGUUAAAAUAAUGACACACAACCAUGCUGUUACUGUAUUUGCUGACUGUCCCAGGGAUUUGUGCUUGCUGACGGCCCCAGCAGUGGUUAAGUGUGUGCCUGUUGCUCCAUCCUCACCAACACCAGGGGGUGUCAUCUACAUGCUUACUCUUUAGAGCUGUUUUUUAUCUGCUGAAUAGGCACAUGCCACUGGCCUCAGCUAUGCAUGGUUUGCCCUUCAGAGUCCUCUAAAUAUCCCGCAGAAACAACUGAUAGUCUAAAGGAGGGAACCUGAGCAUCUGAUCUGCAGAGCAGAGAUACUUCAGGAGGUCCCCGCAUCCCCCAGAAUUGCAGCCUUAGUGUUGGUAUUGCUGUGAAUCAUUGACCAAUGACAGGAUAUUGCAUCCAUUGCAGAAGUUGGUGGUAUUUCCAUCUUCACCUCCAGAGUGAGCUGUGGAAAUUGGUUGAAUGCAGGCUGGGGAAACUGAAGCGGCUACAUAAAUGCUGCAAUCGUUAAGCUUUGGAGACUGUAACAUUCUGCUUGUGGCCUUGGGGCUGGAAGGCCUGCUGGUGCACCUGGUAAGGACUUCACUGUCAUCCAACUACAGUAACUCAAGAUUAAGGACGUGUUUGGUUUUGAUCUUGUUCAUAUUGAGAUUCAGCUGAGGCCGAUUACCCCUAAAAUUCCCCAGAGAGAACUGGGAAGUAAGAAGGAUCUUCAACACCCUCACGGAGUGCUAGAGACAAGACCCUACAAGGGGAACCGCCACGGGGCAACUCAAGAUUCAUAUGCACUGUUGCCAUUGGUUGAUAGGUGAAGAGGACAGCUGUUUGUGUACUCUGAACAGAUUGUCUGGGGAGGAGACUUAGGUAGCUUCACUUCUCAAAAAGAUGACUCGGCUUGGAAUACAAUUAAGAGUGAUCAUCUCUGAGAGAUUUUUCUUGCUUUUUUUAUUUUCUUCUUUAACCUGAGUUGCCCUGGCUCACAAAAUAAAGAUGGCGCUUCCAUAAUAA